This 434-nucleotide ribosomal RNA is filed under the name uncultured Lachnospiraceae bacterium. RNAcentral describes it as "bacterial SSU rRNA". It matches the Rfam family "Bacterial small subunit ribosomal RNA", at positions 341 to 792 of the family's 1533-position model. The record is from RNAcentral. Lineage: Bacteria; Bacillati; Bacillota; Clostridia; Lachnospirales; Lachnospiraceae.
ACGGAAGGCAGCAGUGGGGAAUAUUGCACAAUGGGGGAAACCCUGAUGCAGCGACGCCGCGUGAAGGAAGAAGUAUUUCGGUAUGUAAACUUCUAUCAGCAGGGAAGAUAAUGACGGUACCUGACUAAGAAGCCCCGGCUAACUACGUGCCAGCAGCCGCGGUAAUACGUAGGGGGCAAGCGUUAUCCGGAUUUACUGGGUGUAAAGGGAGCGUAGACGGUACGGCAAGUCUGAUGUGAAAACCCGGGGCUCAACCUCGGGACUGCAUUGGAAACUGUCGAACUAGAGUGUCGGAGAGGUAAGCGGAAUUCCUAGUGUAGCGGUGGAAUGCGUAGAUAUUAGGAGGAACACCAGUGGCGAAGGCGGCUUACUGGACGAUUACUGACGUUGAGGCUCGAAAGCGUGGGGAGCAAACAGGAUUAGAUACCCUGGUA